UAAUUACUCAUACAGCCAGAGAGGAUUCCAAGUCCCUGCCUAUUUGCAGCACUAUCUAAAAACAGUCAACUCAUCUUUCAAAUCUGACCAAACUACAAAUGAUGUCAUCGCUAUAAGGAGUGGGGCUUUCAUCACCUCCUUGACGUAGGAUGUGUACAUGGCUCUCCAGGUCAGAGUUGCUCCAAGCAAGGAAGUCUGAAACAGUUUUGGGCAGAAUGUCAACACCUGAUAAUUAUCUCCUGAUUGGUGACUCUCUCACUGUACAGCAAAGAUUGCUUUUAUCUGGGGUACUGUUCAGUGUGGCCUGGACUCUGACCAAUCGUAACUGAUUCUACUUAAAUAACCAGAAUGUCUGUAGAGCCAUCCUUCUAUUAAUUCUAAAACUGUAACAAAUCAUCCAACAACUUAUGUUCUUUGAAUACCUAAUGUGUGCCAGGAACUACACCGGACACUACACAUAUAUUAUUAGUGAGCCAAAUGGACACAUCUCUUCCUCCCAGUCCCUUCUUAAAUAAAAUGAGUUCCUCCAUUGGAGGUGAUGUUGUGCCGGAGAAUUAGACUUGGUGUAGUGGGAAAGCAAUGAAGAGGAACAUUCAGUGCUGUGGGUGCUCGUUUGUUUUUUCAACUUCCAAAAUGAGCUCCAUCAAUAGACUGGAAAGAGAAUUCCAGAGGGAGCUUGAAUAGGCUCUGCAGGGAUCUGCCUGAGGAGCACCGGAUCUUGAGGGAGAUGGUGAGGAGGUGGCUGGGGGAGAGGCUGAGACUGGAUUGCAGGUUGUGGGGCUUGUGUGGAGAAGAGCUGGAGAAGGCAGAAGAAGGCUACCUAGAACGGUUUGUGGCUGGCGCCAGGGCGCUAAAAGGAAGGUGAGGCACUGUUUGCAGACAAACCCCUCGUAGAGCCCUGUUAACCUGCUGUUACUGGGGGAAGGUGUGUUUUUCCUUGCCAGUAGGCAUAGCUACCUGCCUCUUCAUUGCCCUUGUAUAGUCCAGCAGAACAACAUGCCCUCUGGUCCCUGGGACUUUGCUGAGUCCGUGGACUUGCUCAGUGACCCUUUUCUCUUCAUGCCAGCCCCAUCUCAAUGGGCUGGAGUACUUGUAAACCCCCUGAAACCGUAUGUCCUUGACCCCAGAGGAACAAACAAGGCAAAGUGCCAGCUUCUGUGCUCCAGUGAUAAAGAUGGAUCAUACUUCCUGUCUGGCAGUGUUGUUGUGAGGAUUAAAGGAGAUAAGGUUUGCAAAGUGGCUAGCUUAGCGUCUCGCACAUACAGGUAUUAAGCAAAGGUUACCCCUUACCGCAUCCCUCAGGGAUGUUCCUCAAAAUUGUAUUAAUCAAAGCAUGCUUUAAAUUUUGUGAAGAUGCUCACUGGUUGAAUAAAUUUAUUGAAAAAAGGUAUUACCAAAAAAGUAAAUAUAUGCAAAUUUAAAUAAAAUGGUAUAAUGAAUCCCAUUUAUCCCUCACCUCGCUUCAAAAUUAUCAACUCCUAUUCAAUCUUGUUUCAUCCUCAUUUCCAGCUAUUCUCUUAUCUUUUUAUUUGGAAACUAACCCAGACAUCAUAUUAUUUCAACUGCAAACAUGUCCCUUAUGCAUCUUCAAAGACAACGACUUAGAAAAAAACACCAUGCCAUUAUCUUACCUUAAAAACGUAACAAUAAUUUUUUAACAUUAUUAAAUAUCCAGUCAAGUUUAAAUAGCCAAAUGUCCCAUAAAUGUCUUAAUUUUUAAAAGUUUAUUUGAUUCAGGAUCCAAAUAUAUUUAAAAACAUAAUAAAAAGUUUGGCAGUAGCCAAAUAUCUAGACAGCUACAAAUUCUGAAUCUCACAUAUUGGCUUUUCCUAGAGUGCAGCAAUAAUAUUGUAUCAUAAUAAAAUAAUGCUCCCUCAUUUGGACCGCAUUAUUAAGUGCUUUUACUUUGUUAAUUCAAUACAAUUAUUUUCCUGAUCUCAAUUUGGCCACUAAAUAAAGGUGUGUCCUUGGGCUAUUCACUCAACUUGUCUGAGUCACAGUUUUCAUACUUUUAAAAACAGAGUGUUGAACUAAAAUUGAUUAUUCAUGCCAGGUGCAGUGACUCAUACAUGCAAUCCCAGCACUUUGGGAGGCUAAGGCAGGCAGAUCACUUGAAGUCAGCAGUUUGAGACCACCCUGGCCAACAUGGUGAAACCCCGUCUCUAGAUAAAAAUACAAAAAAUUUGCUGGGCGUGGUGGUGGACGCCUGUAAUCCCAGCUACUCGGGAGGCUGAGGCAGGAGAAUUGCUUGAGCCUGGGAGGUGGAGGUUGCAGUGAGCCAAGAUCAUGCCACGGCACUGCAGCCUAGGUGACAAAACAAGACUCCUUCUCUAAAUAAAUAAAUAAAGAUUAUUCAGCAUGCUUUCAUUCUGAACUUCUGGGUGGGGGCAGGACAGCACAGGGUUGAGAGGAAACAUCCAGCAGAUCUGGCCUGGAACCCUGCCACAUGUAGGCCACAUGAGCUGGGAUUAGUUCCUUAAUCUCUCUUUGUCUUGGUUUCCAAGUCUGUGAAAUGCAAAUGAAAGACAACCAAACCCAGAAAGUUUUUCCUGUAUGCAUAUAGUGGUGGGGUACAGGGAAGGGUGAAUACAGUGAGAAAAUAUGAGUACAGUGAUUGUCACGUAGGAAUCCUCAAUAAAUAGUCAAUAUAGUUAGGUUAACUGGGGCAGGGGAUGAGGAGAUGAGGCUGGAGGACAGGCAGAGGUGAGAACUGUCUUGUCCACUGUCCACACAUGGCAAUUUAGUACUUGAAAUGUGGCUAGUCUGAAUUGAGAUGUCUUGUAAAUAAAUUACCUUUUGUACUUCUAAGACGUAGUAUGAACAAACAACAUAAAAUAUCUCUAUUUUUGAUGAUUCAUUUAUGUCAAUAUCAUAAUAUCUUGGAUAUGUUGUGUUAAAUAAAUAUUAUUAAAAUUAAUUUUACCCUAUCAAAAUGUUUAUAAA
Molecule: RNA transcript, 2943 nt
Organism: Chlorocebus sabaeus (green monkey)
Lineage: Eukaryota; Metazoa; Chordata; Mammalia; Primates; Cercopithecidae
Gene: TMEM244
Gene name: transmembrane protein 244
Source: RefSeq, a predicted model, not a curated record